Oreochromis niloticus (Nile tilapia) is the source of this 1374-nucleotide long non-coding RNA. RefSeq lists it as uncharacterized. NCBI's taxonomy places the organism in Eukaryota, Metazoa, Chordata, Actinopteri, Cichliformes, Cichlidae. The record is from RefSeq and is a predicted model, not a curated record. The transcript is spliced from 6 exons.
ACAACAUCUGGAUUUAACUUUGGAAGCUGAGAGUGGAGCUGGAUCAGACAGGCUCCAGGAAAAGGGCUGGAGUGGAUUGCUUAUAUAGAUAUACCUAGUACUCCUAUCUUUUAUUCCCAGUCUGUCCAGGGUAGAUUCACCAUCUCCAGAGAUGACUCCAGCAGUAAAGUCUAUCUACAGAUGAACAAUCUGAAGGCCGAGGACACAGCAGUGUAUUACUGUGCCAGAUAGUACGCACCGUAGCCAGAGACAACAAGAGAAAGCAGCUGUAUCAGCAGACGAAGAUUCUGCAGACUGUUUUUGAUCUCGACACCCACAGCUUGGCAGCUGUAAUUAUCUCAGACAAUAUUUUAGUUUUAUUGGUUGUGAUGAAAACCACUAAGACUGCUGAAACCAUCCAGAGAUACUGGACCAUCACACACAGUUAAACAAGAUGGACUGUAGGACAUUGAUGCUGCUUUUGACUGUCUGCUAUGCAGAGGUGUUUGAGCAGAAUCCAACUCUUAAAGUUCUUUCCUCCUUUAUUGAGGACGGUACCUAUACUGCCUCCUGCUUUGCCAAAGAGUUUGCACCAAAGAAACAUGAGAUCAAAUGGCUGAAAAAUGGAGCAGACAUCACGAGCAAAAUAGAUUUGAUCACUACAGUUUCUGAAUCAAGAAAGGCAGAUGGAAAGAAAGUGUACAACGCAGCAAGUUUUCUCACUGUAAAUUCCAGUGAUGUGAAUGAAGAUACUGAAUUCACUUUUAUCUUUGAAUAAAAGUGACAGAGACAACACACUAGAUGUUUCCACAACUGCGAAUCCGACAAACGGGCCAACAGUGACAGUCCACAUCCCCCUCCAGCUGCACAUUGACCAGUUAAAUCCUCAAGAUGAAAUCACUCUGGUGUGUCUCGUCACCAGUACUGUGAAUAAGAUGUAUAAAAUCAAAUGGUCAGAAAGUAAUGGAAGAAAUCCUGGACGUUAUGUUACAGGCACCAACAUCCGUGCACAUCAGAGCAAAAAUGACAAAAAAUGGCGAAGUAUGAGUCUUUACACCACCAGUAAGGAAAACUGGUACAAAAAAGAUCCAGCCAAAACGUUCACCUGCCAUGUCCGAUCUGAACAUAUUUCAAUAACAGUGUCCAGCAGCCCUGGUAAUUCCGAUGAAUGUGAACAUAAAUAAUAAGCUUUAAAUGUGAUAUUUUCUGCUUGCGUCAUUCUUUGUCUGUGAUAGUUUUCUAAAUGAAAACCUGUGCACUUGUGAUGUCAGUCACCGUGAGAGAAAAUCAAUGCUUUUUGUUGUCAUCAUGUUGUUCUUCAGUCUGUGUGAGUCACAGUGUCUAAUUGCUUGAUAUGUGUGCUGUAUGUUUGAAAUAAAUGUUGCAUGGAGACUC